RNAcentral lists this ribosomal RNA (179 nucleotides) under uncultured Staphylococcus sp. Its description in RNAcentral is "partial 16S ribosomal RNA". It matches the Rfam family "Bacterial small subunit ribosomal RNA", at positions 162 to 334 of the family's 1533-position model. The record is from RNAcentral. Lineage: Bacteria; Bacillati; Bacillota; Bacilli; Caryophanales; Staphylococcaceae.
AUUAACCGGACGUAAUAUUUGUUAACCGCAUGGUUCAAAAGUGAAAGACGGUCUUGCUGUCACUUAUAGAUGGAUCCGCGCUGCAUUAGCUAGUUGGUAAGGUAACGGCUUACCAAGGCAACGAUGCAUAGCCGACCUGAGAGGGUGAUCGGCCACACUGGAACUGAGACACGGUCCAG